Molecule: long non-coding RNA, 286 nt
Filed under: Solanum tuberosum (potato)
Lineage: Eukaryota; Viridiplantae; Streptophyta; Magnoliopsida; Solanales; Solanaceae
Description: long non-coding RNA (STUB_LNC001923)
Source: RNAcentral
ACCAACCCUAAUCUACCACUUGUCAUUCACUAUUUAACUUUUAAUUCUUUUCAUUUUUGCCUUUAAUUUUCUAUUUUAUUUCCUUCUCUUUUCUUUUUUGAAUUUUUUCUCUUUUAAAUUUUUACUUUGCCUCUGAUUUCUCAAAUUUGUUUUUUGAAUUGCACCACCACAAAUCAUAGUGACAACACUCCAUCAUUGCACUACUUAAUCACAACUACAUCAUGACAAAUAAUCAAAUAUGAAAAUUAGAAGUUCUAUCAAACCAAAAUUUAAAUCAUCAUCUUCA